UUGAUAGUACCUAUCCUACAUGGAUAACAGUGGUAAUUCUAGAGCUAAUACAUGCUGAAAAUCCCGACUUCGGAAGGGACGUAUUUAUUAGAAUCAGAACCAAUGCCCUUCGGGGUUCUCUGGUGACUCAUGAUAACUCCACAGAUCGCAUGGCCUUGCGCCGGCGAUGGCUCAUUCAAAUUUCUUCCCUAUCAACUUUCGACGGUACGGUCUUGGCCUACCGUGGUUGUAACGGGUGACGGAGGGUUAGGGCUCGACCCCGGAGAGAGAGCCGGAGGAACGGCUAUCACAUCCAAGGAAGGCAGCAGGCGCGCAAAUUAUCCAAUCCCGACUCGGGGAGAUAGUGACAAUAAAUACCGAUACAGGGCUCUUUUGGGCCCUGUAAUUGGAAUGAGUACAAUUCAAACCUCUUAACGAGGAACAAUUGGAGGGCAAGUCUGGUGCCAGCAGCCGCGGUAAUUCCAGCUCCAAUAGCGUAUAUUAAAGUUGUUGUGGUUAAAAAGCUCGUAGUCGAACCUCGAGCCUGGCCGGCCGGUCCGCCUCACCGCGUGCACUGGUCUGGCCGGGCUCUUCCCUCUGCGGAACCGCAUGUCCUUCACUGGGCGUGUCGGGGAGGCAGGACUUUUACUUUGAAAAAAUUAGAGUGCUCAAGGCAGGCCAAUGCUCGGAUACAUUAGCAUGGAAUAAUAGAAUAGGACGUUGGUUCUAUUUUGUUGGUUUUUAGGACCGCCGUAAUGAUCAAUAGGGACGGUCGGGGGCAUCAGUAUUCAGCCGUCAGAGGUGAAAUUCUUGGACCGGCCGAAGACUAACUACUGCGAAAGCAUUUGCCAAGGACGUUUUCGCUGAUCAGGAACGAAAGUUAGGGGAUCGAAGACGAUCAGAUACCGUCGUAGUCUUAACCAUAAACGAUGCCGACUAGGGAUCGGGCGGCGUUCUUUCUAGACCCGCUCGGCACCUUACGAGAAAUCAA
Molecule: ribosomal RNA, 970 nt
Filed under: Sterigmatobotrys rudis
Lineage: Eukaryota; Fungi; Ascomycota; Sordariomycetes; Pleurotheciales; Pleurotheciaceae
Description: SSU rRNA
Rfam family: Eukaryotic small subunit ribosomal RNA
Source: RNAcentral